AGAGUUUGAUCAUGGCUCAGAUUGAACGCUGGCGGCAGGCCUAACACAUGCAAGUCGAACGGUAACAGGAAACAGCUUGCUGCUUCGCUGACGAGUGGCGGACGGGUGAGUAAUGUCUGGGAAACUGCCUGAUGGAGGGGGAUAACUACUGGAAACGGUAGCUAAUACCGCAUAACGUCGCAAGACCAAAGAGGGGGACCUUCGGGCCUCUUGCCAUCGGAUGUGCCCAGAUGGGAUUAGCUAGUAGGUGGGGUAACGGCUCACCUAGGCGACGAUCCCUAGCUGGUCUGAGAGGAUGACCAGCCACACUGGAACUGAGACACGGUCCAGACUCCUACGGGAGGCAGCAGUGGGGAAUAUUGCACAAUGGGCGCAAGCCUGAUGCAGCCAUGCCGCGUGUAUGAAGAAGGCCUUCGGGUUGUAAAGUACUUUCAGCGGGGAGGAAGGGAGUAAAGUUAAUACCUUUCUCAUUGACGUUACCCGCAGAAGAAGCACCGGCUAACUCCGUGCCAGCAGCCGCGGUAAUACGGAGGGUGCAAGCGUUAAUCGGAAUUACUGGGCGUAAAGCGCACGCAGGCGGUUUGUUAAGUCAGAUGUGAAAUCCCCGGGCUCAACCUGGGAACUGCAUCUGAUACUGGCAAGCUUGAGUCUCGUAGAGGGGGUAGAAUUCCAGGUGUAGCGGUGAAAUGCGUAGAGAUCUGGAGGAAUACCGGUGGCGAAGGCGGCCCCCUGGACGAAGACUGACGCUCAGGUGCGAAAGCGUGGGGAGCAAGCAGGAUUAGAUACCCUGGUAGUCCACGCCGUAAACGAUGUCGACUUGGAGGUUGUGCCCUUGAGGCGUGGCUUCCGGAGCUAACGCGUUAAGUCGACCGCCUGGGGAGUACGGCCGCAAGGUUAAAACUCAAAUGAAUUGACGGGGGCCCGCACAAGCGGUGGAGCAUGUGGUUUAAUUCGAUGCAACGCGAAGAACCUUACCUGGUCUUGACAUCCACAGAACUUAGAGAUAGAGGUGCCUUCGGGAACUGUGAGACAGGUGCUGCAUGGCUGUCGUCAGCUCGUGUUGUGAAAUGUUGGGUUAAGUCCCGCAACGAGCGCAACCCUUAUCCUUUGUUGCCAGCGGUCCGGCCGGGAACUCAAAGGAGACUGCCAGUGAUAAACUGGAGGAAGGUGGGGAUGACGUCAAGUCAUCAUGGCCCUUACGACCAGGGCUACACACGUGCUACAAUGGCGCAUACAAAGAGAAGCGACCUCGCGAGAGCAAGCGGACCUCAUAAAGUGCGUCGUAGUCCGGAUUGGAGUCUGCAACUCGACUCCAUGAAGUCGGAAUCGCUAGUAAUCGUGGAUCAGAAUGCCACGGUGAAUACGUUCCCGGGCCUUGUACACACCGCCCGUCACACCAUGGGAGUGGGUUGCAAAAGAAGUAGGUAGCUUAACCUUCGGGAGGGCGCUUACCACUUUGUGAUUCAUGACUGGGGUGAAGUCGUAACAAGGUAACCGUAGGGGAACCUGCGGUUGGAUCACCU
This 1523-nucleotide ribosomal RNA is filed under the name Escherichia coli P0304777.1. RNAcentral describes it as "bacterial SSU rRNA". It matches the Rfam family "Bacterial small subunit ribosomal RNA". Lineage: Bacteria; Pseudomonadati; Pseudomonadota; Gammaproteobacteria; Enterobacterales; Enterobacteriaceae. The record is from RNAcentral.